AAACUUUCAACAACGGAUCUCUUGGCUCUGGCAUCGAUGAAGAACGCAGCGAAAUGCGAUAAGUAAUGUGAAUUGCAGAAUUUAGUGAAUCAUCGAAUCUUUGAACGCACAUUGCGCCCCCCGGUACUCCGAGGGGCAUGCCUGUUCGAGCGUC
This 154-nucleotide ribosomal RNA is filed under the name Podosphaera minor. RNAcentral describes it as "5.8S ribosomal RNA". It matches the Rfam family "5.8S ribosomal RNA". From Rfam's summary of the family: 5.8S ribosomal RNA (5.8S rRNA) is a component of the large subunit of the eukaryotic ribosome. It is transcribed by RNA polymerase I as part of the 45S precursor that also contains 18S and 28S rRNA. The record is from RNAcentral. Lineage: Eukaryota; Fungi; Ascomycota; Leotiomycetes; Helotiales; Erysiphaceae.